Molecule: ribosomal RNA, 253 nt
Filed under: uncultured bacterium
Lineage: Bacteria
Description: partial 16S ribosomal RNA
Rfam family: Bacterial small subunit ribosomal RNA
Source: RNAcentral
UACAGGGGGGGCAAGCGUUGUUCGGAAUUACUGGGCGUAAAGGGCCAGUAGGCGGCCAACUAAGUCCGACGUGAAAUCCCCAGGCUUAACCUGGGAACUGCGUCGGAUACUGGAUGGCUUGAAUUCGGGAGAGGGAUGCAGAAUUCCAGGUGUAGCGGUGAAAUGCGUAGAUAUCUGGAGGAAUACCGGUGGCGAAGGCGGCAUCCUGGACCGACAUUGACGCUGAGGUGCGAAAGCGUGGGGAGCAAACAGG